This 119-nucleotide ribosomal RNA is filed under the name Pteropus alecto (black flying fox). The record is from RNAcentral. Lineage: Eukaryota; Metazoa; Chordata; Mammalia; Chiroptera; Pteropodidae.
GUCUACCGCCUUGCCACCCUGAACAAGCCCAAUCCUGUCUGAUCUCGGAAACUAAGCAGGGUCGGGCCUGGUUAGUACUUGGAUGGGGGAUCACCUUGGAAGACCAGGUGCUCUAGUCG